AGUGAACGCUGGCGGCGUGCCUAAUACAUGCAAGUCGAACGGAGUGGCGCACGGGUGAGUAAUGUAUAGCUAAUCUGCCCUUCACUAGAGGACAACAGUUGGAAAAGACUGCUCAUACUCUAUAGUGUAGGAUGAGGCUUUAUUGUAUCAGCUAGUUGGUGAGGUAAUGGCUCACCAAGGCUAUGACGAAUAACUGGUCUGAGAGGAUGAUCAGUCAAACUGGAACGGAGACACCGUUCGGACUCCUACGGGAGGGAGCAGUAGGGAAUAUUGCUCAAUGGGGGAAACCCUGAAGGAGCAACGCCGCGUGGAGGAUGACACUUUUCGGAGCAUAAACUCCUUUUGUUAGGGAAGCGGUACCUAACGAAUAAGCACCGGCUAACUCCGUGCCAGCAGCCGCGGUAAUUC
RNAcentral lists this ribosomal RNA (408 nucleotides) under uncultured bacterium. RNAcentral describes it as "partial 16S ribosomal RNA". It matches the Rfam family "Bacterial small subunit ribosomal RNA", at positions 29 to 526 of the family's 1533-position model. The record is from RNAcentral.